AUCAAUGUUUAUUUUAAGAUACUAAGCUUGUCCUUGGGAAACCAUCAGUUUAUGUUGGCGAAGUGGUUUCCCCUCCGACGCCAACCUAUAUCUAGAUCAACUCAACGAGAUCUGCAAUAUUUAUUAUAGACAUAUGCAUCGACAACUGCCCUUUUAAAGUUUUUAUAAAUAGAAAGGAAGAGGGGGUUGGAGAUCUCAAGUGUGGUGAUGUCGGAGAGACCAAUAGAUUGGGAAGAUGUUGCAUAUGAGCAUGGAGUAAACGAAGUGGCUAUGAAAUAAAUUCCAUGCUCAUUAAUGUUAUCUUCGUCUCCAAUCUGAAUGUUCGGAGUUUCUCCUGGAUUGGUCUCACCUAUGUCCUCUUCUGUAGUUGGAUGAAUCUCAUCUUCAAAGGGAGUCA
Molecule: long non-coding RNA, 397 nt
Filed under: Sorghum bicolor (sorghum)
Lineage: Eukaryota; Viridiplantae; Streptophyta; Magnoliopsida; Poales; Poaceae
Description: long non-coding RNA (SBIC_LNC017802)
Source: RNAcentral